RNAcentral lists this transfer RNA (67 nucleotides) under Callionymus curvicornis. Its description in RNAcentral is "Repomucenus curvicornis tRNA-Ser". Lineage: Eukaryota; Metazoa; Chordata; Actinopteri; Syngnathiformes; Callionymidae. The record is from RNAcentral.
AGAGAGGCCAUGCAGGCACCGGAGACUGCUAACUACCGCCCCCCCGGUUGGACCCCGGGGCUCACUC